RNAcentral lists this ribosomal RNA (2925 nucleotides) under Salmonella enterica subsp. enterica serovar Braenderup str. ATCC BAA-664. Its description in RNAcentral is "23S ribosomal RNA". It matches the Rfam family "Bacterial large subunit ribosomal RNA". Lineage: Bacteria; Pseudomonadati; Pseudomonadota; Gammaproteobacteria; Enterobacterales; Enterobacteriaceae. The record is from RNAcentral.
GGGUUGUGAGGUUAAGCGACUAAGCGUACACGGUGGAUGCCCUGGCAGUCAGAGGCGAUGAAGGACGUGCUAAUCUGCGAUAAGCGCCGGUAAGGUGAUAUGAACCGUUAUAACCGGCGAUUUCCGAAUGGGGAAACCCAGUGUGAUUCGUCACACUAUCAUUAACUGAAUCCAUAGGUUAAUGAGGCGAACCGGGGGAACUGAAACAUCUAAGUACCCCGAGGAAAAGAAAUCAACCGAGAUUCCCCCAGUAGCGGCGAGCGAACGGGGAGGAGCCCAGAGCCUGAAUCAGCAUGUGUGUUAGUGGAAGCGUCUGGAAAGGCGCGCGAUACAGGGUGACAGCCCCGUACACAAAAGCGCAUGUGCUGUGAGCUCGAUGAGUAGGGCGGGACACGUGGUAUCCUGUCUGAAUAUGGGGGGACCAUCCUCCAAGGCUAAAUACUCCUGACUGACCGAUAGUGAACCAGUACCGUGAGGGAAAGGCGAAAAGAACCCCGGCGAGGGGAGUGAAAAAGAACCUGAAACCGUGUACGUACAAGCAGUGGGAGCACCUUCGGGUGUGACUGCGUACCUUUUGUAUAAUGGGUCAGCGACUUAUAUUCUGUAGCAAGGUUAACCGUAUAGGGGAGCCGGAGGGAAACCGAGUCUUAAUUGGGCGUUAAGUUGCAGGGUAUAGACCCGAAACCCGGUGAUCUAGCCAUGGGCAGGUUGAAGGUUGGGUAACACUAACUGGAGGACCGAACCGACUAAUGUUGAAAAAUUAGCGGAUGACCUGUGGCUGGGGGUGAAAGGCCAAUCAAACCGGGAGAUAGCUGGUUCUCCCCGAAAGCUAUUUAGGUAGCGCCUCGUGAAUUCAUCUCCGGGGGUAGAGCACUGUUUCGGCUAGGGGGCCAUCCCGGCUUACCAACCCGAUGCAAACUGCGAAUACCGGAGAAUGUUAUCACGGGAGACACACGGCGGGUGCUAACGUCCGUCGUGAAGAGGGAAACAACCCAGACCGCCAGCUAAGGUCCCAAAGUCAUGGUUAAGUGGGAAACGAUGUGGGAAGGCCCAGACAGCCAGGAUGUUGGCUUAGAAGCAGCCAUCAUUUAAAGAAAGCGUAAUAGCUCACUGGUCGAGUCGGCCUGCGCGGAAGAUGUAACGGGGCUAAACCAUGCACCGAAGCUGCGGCAGCGACGCUUAUGCGUUGUUGGGUAGGGGAGCGUUCUGUAAGCCUGCGAAGGUGGCCUGUGAGGGUUGCUGGAGGUAUCAGAAGUGCGAAUGCUGACAUAAGUAACGAUAAAGCGGGUGAAAAGCCCGCUCGCCGGAAGACCAAGGGUUCCUGUCCAACGUUAAUCGGGGCAGGGUGAGUCGACCCCUAAGGCGAGGCCGAAAGGCGUAGUCGAUGGGAAACGGGUUAAUAUUCCCGUACUUGGUGUUACUGCGAAGGGGGGACGGAGAAGGCUAUGUUGGCCGGGCGACGGUUGUCCCGGUUUAAGCGUGUAGGUGUGUGUUCCAGGUAAAUCCGGUUCACUUUAACACUGAGGCGUGACGACGAGGCACUACGGUGCUGAAGCAACAAAUGCCCUGCUUCCAGGAAAAGCCUCUAAGCAUCAGGUAACAUCAAAUCGUACCCCAAACCGACACAGGUGGUCAGGUAGAGAAUACCAAGGCGCUUGAGAGAACUCGGGUGAAGGAACUAGGCAAAAUGGUGCCGUAACUUCGGGAGAAGGCACGCUGACACGUAGGUGAAGUGAUUUACUCAUGGAGCUGAAGUCAGUCGAAGAUACCAGCUGGCUGCAACUGUUUAUUAAAAACACAGCACUGUGCAAACACGAAAGUGGACGUAUACGGUGUGACGCCUGCCCGGUGCCGGAAGGUUAAUUGAUGGGGUCAGCGCAAGCGAAGCUCCUGAUCGAAGCCCCGGUAAACGGCGGCCGUAACUAUAACGGUCCUAAGGUAGCGAAAUUCCUUGUCGGGUAAGUUCCGACCUGCACGAAUGGCGUAAUGAUGGCCAGGCUGUCUCCACCCGAGACUCAGUGAAAUUGAACUCGCUGUGAAGAUGCAGUGUACCCGCGGCAAGACGGAAAGACCCCGUGAACCUUUACUAUAGCUUGACACUGAACAUUGAGCCUUGAUGUGUAGGAUAGGUGGGAGGCUUUGAAGCGUGGACGCCAGUCUGCGUGGAGCCGACCUUGAAAUACCACCCUUUAAUGUUUGAUGUUCUAACGUGGACCCGUGAUCCGGGUUGCGGACAGUGUCUGGUGGGUAGUUUGACUGGGGCGGUCUCCUCCUAAAGAGUAACGGAGGAGCACGAAGGUUGGCUAAUCCUGGUCGGACAUCAGGAGGUUAGUGCAAUGGCAUAAGCCAGCUUGACUGCGAGCGUGACGGCGCGAGCAGGUGCGAAAGCAGGUCAUAGUGAUCCGGUGGUUCUGAAUGGAAGGGCCAUCGCUCAACGGAUAAAAGGUACUCCGGGGAUAACAGGCUGAUACCGCCCAAGAGUUCAUAUCGACGGCGGUGUUUGGCACCUCGAUGUCGGCUCAUCACAUCCUGGGGCUGAAGUAGGUCCCAAGGGUAUGGCUGUUCGCCAUUUAAAGUGGUACGCGAGCUGGGUUUAGAACGUCGUGAGACAGUUCGGUCCCUAUCUGCCGUGGGCGCUGGAGAACUGAGGGGGGCUGCUCCUAGUACGAGAGGACCGGAGUGGACGCAUCACUGGUGUUCGGGUUGUCAUGCCAAUGGCACUGCCCGGUAGCUAAAUGCGGAAGAGAUAAGUGCUGAAAGCAUCUAAGCACGAAACUUGCCCCGAGAUGAGUUCUCCCUGAGACUUAGAGUCUCCUGAAGGAACGUUGAAGACGACGACGUUGAUAGGCCGGGUGUGUAAGCGCAGCGAUGCGUUGAGCUAACCGGUACUAAUGAACCGUGAGGCUUAACCUUACAACGCCGAAG